Non-coding RNA from Gossypium arboreum, 89 nucleotides. Lineage: Eukaryota; Viridiplantae; Streptophyta; Magnoliopsida; Malvales; Malvaceae. The record is from Rfam.
GAUGGCAAGGAAUGAAUAUUUAUCUUAUCCUACACUCUGAUUAAACCAUAUAGAUUCAGAUCUUCGCUUAUUGAUAUUUUGAUGCCAUU